AGGCCUACUCUGUCUGGGGUGGAAAGGUAGGCCUACUCUGUCUGGGGUGGAAAGGUAGGUCUACUCUGUCUGGGGUGGAAAGGUAGACCUACUCUGUCUGGGGUGGAAAGGUAGACCUACUCUGUCUGGGGUGGAAAGGUAGGUCUACUCUGUCUGGGGUGGAAAGGUAGGUCUACUCUGUCUGGGGUGGAAAGGUAGGCCUUCUCUGUCUGGGGUGGAAAGGUAGACCUACUCUGUCUGGGGUGGAAAGGUAGGUCUACUCUGUCUGGGGUGGAAAGGUAGGUCUACUCUGUCUGGGGUGGAAAGGUAGGCUUACUCUGU
Molecule: long non-coding RNA, 321 nt
Filed under: Salmo salar (Atlantic salmon)
Lineage: Eukaryota; Metazoa; Chordata; Actinopteri; Salmoniformes; Salmonidae
Description: lncRNA (ENSSSAG00000112350.1)
Source: RNAcentral